RNAcentral lists this long non-coding RNA (1127 nucleotides) under Neogobius melanostomus (round goby). Its description in RNAcentral is "lncRNA (ENSNMLG00000001103.1)". Lineage: Eukaryota; Metazoa; Chordata; Actinopteri; Gobiiformes; Gobiidae. The record is from RNAcentral.
AUUUUGCAUUAGUUUUAAGUAACACAAUGACAAAAGCUGAAAAACCAAGCUAGUAAUCUUAUGCAAUAGUUAAUUAUUACCAGUAGGUGGCAGCAAUUUAUCUGCAGUAUCUUCCAUUGGCUUUAUAGAUUACCUUCUGUAUUUCCUAAAAGGUGUAUAUUAAACUGGUUACUUGGGUAUUCUCUGUGUAGAAGGCUUUAGCCCGGUUGGCCCAGCGGGAACCACCCUCAGAUGAUGGGGAUGAGACCGGCUGCGAUGGGCCCCGAAGGAGCUUCCAAUAUGAGUCCUGGAAUGGGGUCUGAGAAUGGAGCAAUGAGGUAUCCCCAUCCCGGACAACUUGGGAUCCGACCCGACUUGGACCCCUCGAAACAGCAGCAGCAGCAGCAGCACCAGCAGCAGCAGCAGCAGCAGCAGCAGCAGCAGCAGCAGCAGCAGCAGCAGCAUUCUCCUAUGGGUGCUCAGUUGGGACAGUCUCCCGUGUACAGCGUUGGUGGGGUGUUCGACGGGCCGAACAGCAAGAGGCGGCGAUUUUAGAUUUAUCGCCACAAAUCACGGACAUUGACAGAAACCGUUUCUAUUUUUAUAUGGCUUUGCUUUUAUUACUUAUUUAUAUACAUGUGGUGUUUUCGGUGUUGGCAUCCUGGUCUCCUCACACGAACAUUUGUUACUGAGAAUCCUAAGUUCUUUUCUUUAUUGGACAAGAAUAGCUUAAUGGUGGCUGUAACUUCAGAUUCCCAUCACUUGGAAUAUGGAACCAGUGAGAACGAGUAAUAAAGUCUGAAGUUUAAGUCCUGGUCCACCUUUUUGUGUUGCUUCAGAUAUUCUAAUCAGAUUCUAGGUCUCUUCCCUUUCUAAAUAAAGGAGGUUAUUAAUUUGUUUGUUUUUUAAGAAAGAAUUAAAAAAAAAAAUUAUGGUUUGAAAAGAUUGAGAAAUGUAGGUAAGGUAUUAAUUUUUGUAUGCAGAUUCUACCUGUGAGGGAUGAGUGAAGAGUGCCCCAUAAUAAUGUCAUGUCUUAUUAUCUGUAUUAUGUCCAUUUCAUUGGCAGCUUCAGCACUGCUUGACGCUUUGCUGCUCUGAAAUCAGAAAAAUAGAUGUUUUAAAGAAUUAAAGAAAUGUAUUGCAAAUGU